This 244-nucleotide long non-coding RNA is filed under the name Setaria italica (foxtail millet). Its description in RNAcentral is "long non-coding RNA (SITA_LNC001208)". Lineage: Eukaryota; Viridiplantae; Streptophyta; Magnoliopsida; Poales; Poaceae. The record is from RNAcentral.
GGCGAUUGUGUACAUAUAUACAUCUCCACUUUAUUUAACUUUAGAUCGGAAAGUUAUCCUAAUUCUGAAUGUGCCUUUGUAUCUCUUCCAAUAUUACCUUUAUUUCCUUAAGGUAGCUUGUACUAAACAUUUUUAUAGCCGAAACUGUACUAAGACUGGUCAUGAAAUUUUAACAGUGAGUUAUCAGGGUGAAAUAGAGCCUCCGGUGAAUUUCUCACAAUUUUUAGUGAAGGGCAUCUUUUUC